Molecule: long non-coding RNA, 8053 nt
Filed under: Triticum aestivum (bread wheat)
Lineage: Eukaryota; Viridiplantae; Streptophyta; Magnoliopsida; Poales; Poaceae
Description: long non-coding RNA (TAES_LNC015034)
Source: RNAcentral
CCAUGUAAUACAUAAGGGAAAGAGAUACAUAGUUGGCUUACAAUUGCCACUUCACACAAUUACAUGAAUAAAGCAUUACAUCAUCCAGAUACAAUCAAGGUCCGACUACGGAACCAAAAUAAAAGAAGAACCCCAAAUGCGACAAAGGUCCCUGAUCGACCCCAACUGGGCUCCACUACUGAUCAACUAGAACGAAACAACACAAAGGGCAAGAUCUUCAUCGAGCUCCUCCUUGAGCUUGGUUGCGUCAUCUGCACGGUAACAUAGGCACCUGCAAACUGGUUUUGGAAGUAUCUGUGAGCCACGGGGACUCAGCAAUCUCGCACCCACGAGAUCAAGACUAUUUAAGCUAAUAGGAAGGAUGGAGUAAUGAGGUGGAGCUGCAGCAAGCGACUAGCAUAUAUGGUGGCUAACAUACGCAAAUGAGAGCGAGAAGAGAAGGCAAAGCACGGUCGAUAAAAGUAUGAUCAAGAAGUGAUCCUAUAGCAACCUACGUCAAGCAUAACUCCAACACCGUGUUCACUUCCCGGACUCCGCCGGAAAGAGACCAUCACGGUUACACACACGGUUGAUGUAUUUUAAUUAAGGUCAACUUCGGGUUUUCUACAACCGGAGAUUAGCAAAUUCCUAUCUGCCCAUAACCGCGGGCACGGCUUUCGAAAGAUAAUACCCUGCAGGGGUGUCCCAACUUAUCCCAUCACAAGCUCUCACGGUCAACGAAGGAAUAGACCUCCACCCGAGACAUUCCGAUCAGACUCGGUAUCCCGGUACAACAAGACAUUUCGACAGAGUAAAACUAAACCAGCAACACCGCCCGAAUGUGCCGACAAAUCCCGAUAGGAGCUGCACAUAUCUCUUUCUCAGGGCACACUCAGAUGAGCGCUCCGUACAACUAAAACCAAACCUCGAGUUUCGCCGAGGGGGCGCUGCACAGGACUCUAGUUCGGACCAACACUCAGAGGAGCACUGGCCCGGGGGGGGGGGGGUUAAAAAAAUGAUGACCCUUGAGUCUGCAGAACCCAAGGGAAAGAAAAGGCUAGGUGGAAAAUGGUAAAACCAAUGUUGGGCAUUGCUGGAAGAGCUUUACUUAAGGCGAACUGUCAAGGGGUUCCCAUUAUAGCCCAACCGCGUAAGGGAUGCAAAAUCCGGGAACAUAACACCGAUAUGACGGAAACUAGGGCGGCAAGAAUGGAACAAAACACCAGGCAUAAGGCCGAGCCUUCCACCCUUUACCAAGUAUAUAGAUGCAUUAGUUAAGUAAGAUAUAUUGUGAUAUCCCAACAAGUAAACAUGUUCCAACAAGGAACAACAUCUCCAUGUUCCAACAAGGAACAAACUUCAAUCUUCACCUGCGACUAACAAUGCUAUAAGAGGGGCUGAGCAAAGCGGUAACAUAGCCAAUCAACGGUUUGCUAGGACAUGGUGGGUUAGAGGUUUGACAUGGCAAUUUGGGAGGCUGACAAGCAAAAGGUAGGCAUCGUAGCAUUGGCAUAGCAAGAGCGAGCAAACUAGCAUAGCAAAGAUAGUAGUGAUUUCGAGGGUAUGAUCAUCUUGCCUGAAAUCCCGCAAGGAAGAAGAACGAGUCCAAGAAGAAGACAAUCGGUCGUAGACGAACGAAUCCUCACAACUCCGGAACGAAACCGAAGCUAACGAGAGAAGCAACCCGGAAAGAAACAAACAACAUAGUAAACAAACAUCACAUAAACAUGGCAUGAUGCGCAAACAAGUAUGAUGCAUGUCCGGUUUAAAUAUGCAUGGCAUGGGAAAGUGCACAAACAAUCCUACAAAUUAAGUGGAGCUCAAUAUGCAACGAGUUGCAUAUUGACGAAACACCACAUCAAUUAUUUAGUUAUCUCUCGUUUAAGCUACCCAACAAUAUUAACUGUUGUUAAACAUAGCAAGAGGUGAAGCAUAAUAUAAACUAUACCAUCUAAACAAUUUAAAUGGGGCCGGAUAUAAAAACAACAAAUCCGGUAAAGCCCCAUAUGCAUUUAGCAAUUUAAUGCAACAACAAGUUAAACAUUUUAAAUGUUGUUAUCAUGAUGCGGAUGACAUAUACAAGUUUUAUGCAAUUUUUAUGAAAAUGUUGACAAGAGCAUUAAGAAGCAUUUGGUCACCAUGGCGGAACAAAAAGGGUGCCACGGCGACGAAUCCGAAAAUGAUGCCACGGCAACAUUCCGGUCCCGGUAACUCAUGGAGGUACCGGUGCAAAAGGAAGUGUGACGUGAGCAAGUCAUGCAAGAUGGUGGGGUGAUCCCGAAUUCCGGGUUCCACGGGACGGUGGCACGGCAGAAGAGGGUCAUCGCAAGGACGAUUCGAUCACGGAGCAAACGAUGCAUCUCAUUCAACACAUGCAUUAGGUCACGGGCGUCGUCUCGGCGUUAUACCUUCGAAGCGUGCGUUUUCGGGGCGGGUCGAGUUCGGUACGAUGUAGAGGAAGUAGACAUUCUCGGGUCGUCGUGGGAAGUAGUUGUACAUGACGACAGUAGUGGAAGUAGUGGUUCACGUGGCGACGGUAGUUGUACACAUUUUCGUAGAUGUUCAGGUCGACGGUAGUUGUACACGGGUCCUCGUCUUCAUGGUACUUGGCGUCCUCUCAGCCUUGACAGUGAAGAAACGGAACGCGAUGGUCGUGGUACUUGGCGAAUCCACGGGGUCGACGGUAGGCGUUCUAGGCAUCGGGCGUCCAGGUACUUGCCAGGCUUGAAGAACGUACUUGUCGACAGGAAACCAUAGAGGCGGUCUUGUGUCCCUGUGUUCACUAGUCUUGGCAACGACAGGAAAGGCAACGGGCGACGUCCUUGUUGGACGGAGCUGGUACAUGCGAACCAUGGCGAGGCCGAAGGUGGGUCUCGGGCAGGAGGUGAAGAAGACGACAUGGACGCAAUCUCCGGCGAGAAGGCAAAGCAGAGAAGGCUGGGGUCGAGCACGGGGAGGCUGGAUGCCGGCAGCGAGGAAGGACGGCGCGGCGCGGAGAGCUGGUGGUGGCGCUCCUGGACGCAGCGGGAGGAAGAGCAUCCCGGCACUGCUCGGGAGGCGCGAAGCAGAGGCGCGGGGAGGGAGCCGCACGGAGAGGGAGGAGGGCACGGGGACCGGGACCGGGUCCGGCGAGGAGCUGUGGGCGCCGGUGACUGCAGGCGACGGCGGUGCUCCCCGGGUCCGGUGAGGCGCUGUGGUCGCGCGAGGAGGCGGACGAACGGGCCAGGCGGCGGCGGACGACGGAUGCGGGCGCGGGUGCUCGAGGGGCUCCUCUCCUCGAGCACUCGGGCGACGAGGAUUUGGCGAGGAGGAGGCGCGGUCGCGGCCUGGUGCUGCAGAGGGAGGCGCGCGGGAUCGAGAGGGAGAGAGUGAGAUGGGGAUCGGGAUGAGCGAGGGAGAUGGCGGCGCUGGAGGAAGGGUUCGAGGGGAAGAGAGGGAUCGAGGGACAGAGCUAGGGUUGGUUAUCGGUGCGGCUGGGCUUCAGGAGGGUUGGUGGGCCUAGGAGGCCGGCCCAGCGAAGAGGGAGGCGGCUGGGCUCUCCACUCCCUCUCUUUUCAAAACUCUUCUAAAAACAGAAAAGCAAAGAAAGAAAAGGAGAGAAAAGAAAUGAGUGGACAAGAAUUUGGGCAUGCGGAUAAUUUUUCCGGACUCACAAAAAUGAGCUUGACCCAAGAAAAAUGGAGUGGGCAAGAUUGCAAGAAUUAAAUUCAAAGUCAUUUGAAUUUAAUUUAAAAGGUUUGAACAAGGACUUGGAUUUAGAAGAGUCCAAAAAUGUUUAGAAUUUAGGAGGAGCCUCGAUAAAUGGGAAAAGAAAUGUUGGCAAAGUUUGGGGACCAAACUUGAAGUAGAAAGGGAGUGGGGAUUUUUCAAGUGUGUUUUGGUUAAUUCCAAAAGAAUGGAAUAUUUUUAUUUUAGCUCUCUAAUAAUAUUGAGAGGCUUCAAUAUGUUAUAAAGAGAUAUCACAAGUGACUUCCCUCGAUUUAAAUGGAUCAAAGACCCAUGCAAUUUAUUUAGCUGAGUUGCAAAAGAUUUAUGAGAUGAUGGCAUGAUGACAUGGUGCAAUGCAAAAAAUAAAAGGGCAGGCACAAAUGAAACACACGGCGAAAACUGGAAACCCUGGAAGGCAACUGAAGCUCCGGUCUUGGGGCGUUACAACACUCCACCACUACGAGAGGAUCUCGUCCCGAGAUCUAGAAUGGCACCGGAGGGAAAACGGAAAAGGAAGAGAAACGGUAAAACUAAGUUGCUUCUUACGACAAACGAGUGAAACCAAAGAACCUUGCAAGUUUGAACAAAUUCGAGAAAAGAACACAAGAAGGUGAACGAAGUUGAAAACACUCCGUUAGAAAAGAGGGACAAAGAACAUUGCGAAAACCUAGAGGUUGAAGGGAAGAUAUACAUAGAAAACACUCCGAUUAAGGAAGGGGAUCAAGGAAGACCAAAUUCGGGCAGCACUCCGGUAGAAAAGGGAGGAAUUGAAUAAGAACUUGAUAAGGUGAUAUAACUUGAAAAGAAGGCACGACAAUCCGGUUAAAUGAAUAAGCAAGAAAGGAACAAGGUCCUGACAAAAACAAAAGGAAAGGUUGAAGAUAGCAACAUCACUAUGACUCCGGAACAAAAGAAUAGAAGAUGGAUAAUUGAAAUAGGAGAAUUGAGGAGAAAAUGCCAACUUCUGCCACAAAAGAGCUUGAGAAGGCAUCCUUUGGAAACGGGUCGAACGGAGUUGUUGGAAAACCAACAACGAAAAGGAUAAGCUUGAUAUGGACUUAUAGAAGACGUCUCAAAACUAUGAGGUGACAACUUGCCACUCACGGAAUAAAUUUGAUUGGUAAGAACAAGGAGACUUGAAACUUAUUUCACCGGGAGGAUAGAUGAAUAACUUGUGUCAUUUAUAACCAACAUAGAUAGCAACAAGCCAUAGGGAAGGCUUUAGGUGAAAUAUAACCCGAGAUAACUCCAACGAAGAGGUUGAUGGAUUUAAAAUAUCUCAUACUUAACAACAUGUGAAUCAUGGAACAUGAACUCAAAUUAUCAAGAAUGACAUAAUACCACCUCCAAAAUAUGGUAGAAAGAAUUGCACUCAGGAUUACCAUAUGAAGAAAGCUUGAGCUCCUUAGGAAAGAAUCUCGAUGAAAACUUUGAGAAGGGAAUUAAAUCCUUGAUGAACCAUCAUGUAGAACCUCCAUGAAGAACUCCGGUAAACAAAAGGAAUGAACAGAAAGAGAAAUUGAAAACACAAGGUGAAUCCUUGCAAUGAUUUAGAUGGAUCUCCGUGAUAAUUAGAGCUUGGAACUCCGGGAAAAAGAGAAGAUGAAACAAAUGAAACCGAGAAUUUGAAGGGCCUCCGGAAUAAAGAAUUAAUCACUUGGAUGAACAAGAAUAAGAAUUAUGUUAUGCUUAUCCUUCACCAAUUAAAUUGAUGACAAUCAACGGAUUUGGCUUACUACUUAUUCUCGUAGAAAGGAUUAAAAGAGAUAUAUCAAAACUUGAGAAGGUCUUCAACGAACCACCGGUAGGAUUGGAACAACAAAUGAAUUGAUAUGAUGAACAAGGAAGAGAGAUCUUGAAAGAACCACCGUAAGAAUUGAAAAUGAUCGAAGUAAGGGUGCAUCACCGGUAAGAAUUAGCAAAUGAACGAAGGUGCUUGAGACAAACUAGAUACAUGAGAACAAAUAGAUCAAGAACUGAUUAGAGGAUAUUCGAUAGAUGCACCGGCAAGAUAGGAGAAUGAUAACUGACAGCUGAGAAUGAAUAAACCUGAAUUGAUGGACUCCGGAUGACAAACUGAGAAGACUCUUGAAUAUCUUCUGAUGGGUGAAAAAGAUUCUCACAAUCGAAAACAAUUAUGAGAGGAUGGCAACAAGCUAGCACCAUGAAUCUUGAAGAGAAUAGAGCAAGAUUAAAGAGAAACUCUUCUUCGGUCUUCAAAUGAUGAGAAUGACAACGAGAAACACCACCAAGAAUUAUUGAGGCACACCGGAAGAAUCAAAAGCGAAGAGGUUGAGCCAACUAUGAAAAGAAUUUGAAAGAUCUUGGAGAAAAUCAUUUGACUAAUGAUAACUCAUUCUUACGUCAAACUUGGAGAAGAAUUUAGGAUAGCUCUGGGAAAAUAGAAGAGUCAGGUAAGAUCCUGGGAAAAGACCUUGGGUUAGGGCCCACUCAAAAGAAAACACCGUUGAAAAGAUUUAAAAGAGAUGUUGCACCGGUUGAAUUAAAUGACUUGAAUGAGAUACCAAUCUCGAAAGAGCUUGAACGGAUUGAGAAUGGAAACACGAAUCUUCUGAGAUAUCUUGAGCACUCCGAAUAAGAAUAGAGAGAGAUGAACAAUUAUGAGAGGCACCAGCAUGGGAUAGCAUUUGAACAAGGAUAAGGAUAUGAUCAACACCGAAAGCUUAAGGUAAAUCCACCGGAGAAGAAAACGAGAAUGAAGAGUGAUGAACUUGGAGCUCCGUUAGUAUCUUUUUGAGAAUCACCAGAUAAGAACAUUGACGGAAAAGAAUGGAGAAACUUCCCAUCAAUAAAAGGAUACAUGAUUAAGAUAUCUGAGUCCUUGAACAAAAAGGGUGGGAGGGCGGGAAAAACAAAGGCAACUUGGGGCAGUUGGAAUGAACACCGUUGAGAAAACUUAGAAUUGAUCUUGCGGAUGGGGAGAAUGAUCGGAUCCACUUGAAGAGAGACACACUGGUUGAAAAGGAUUGGCAAGACAAUCUCGAUGAUCAAGAAGGAUUAGUAUUCACAUCGGAGUAUGAGAACACUGUUUCGGGAAGGUAUGGAAUCAACACUUGACAUUGAAGCAACUCGAAUACCACAACUCAAAACAAAAACAAGGGGUUGGCUUGCAGAAUAAGCCGGAACAAAACAUAUGAUAGAGAUUUCGUCCGAAGUUUUCGUGGUGGGGCCUACACGGGCUCGAGUGUAUAUCACCAUCAUGUACAAGGCAGUGCACAUGACAUACGAAGUGUCCCCGAACCAGCAUAGCAAAGGGUUCUUUAAGACACAACGAGACCACUGUAAAAACGACCGUGAAUAGGCGGACCACUAGACGUCGAACCCCAAUUUCAUAUCAUACAUCUGUCGGAAAGAUAUCCUAAGAGCUACUUGAUUUCCCACCUAUGAAACUCCCGAAAUUUUCCGGUUAUGCAAUCAGGUGUUGGGGAUACAGGGGAAGCAUAAUAUCUCACCCAAACUAGCAAAUCCUACAUCCAGUUGUAUCCAUCCUUCAACACAUAACCAAGAAAACUUCGGAAACCAUCUACCUCAACCUUUGAAAAGCAUCCGUUAUACAAGUUAUGGCAAUACUCCCGAACUCCCGCCCCAGUACUGGGUGGCGUCGAGGUUAUCUCACCAACGAACUGCAUAAAAGAGAUUUUCGAUGUCGGCGUACUAAACUCAGGUAUACCAGAAUUGCAACGAUAAAAUUAUGAUGACAACACCUCAGAGCUCAACUCCCCGGGACACUUCCACUAAACCCCUGACAGGAGGCACCAAGACAAUGUUCUCAUCAUAAAACCAUCGGAACGAUUCCAAGAUACCCGCGUGAUCCUAAAUUUUUUUAGUGAAAUUUGAGAAGAGAAGAGUCAAAACUCUACGUCAGGAUGCCUUACCAGAGCGAUGAAGAGACUGGGGAGUAAAAAGAAUUCCUAACUCUCCGAUAUAUAUAAUCCUAAAUGACUCAAAAUAUUUUUCUAGACACAACUCGGCCGCUAAAAACGAUCAAGCAGUGGGGCUCCUAAGGUCGGGGAAGGCUCUGAUUACCAACUUGUAACGCCCUCGAUGCGGCUAUAUCUCCCACGUGUCGAAGCACGACUUAGAGGCAUAACCGCAUUGAAAGCAAUGUCGCAAGUGAGGUAAUCUUCACACAACCCAUGUAAUACAUAAGGGAAAGAGAUACAUAGUUGGCUUACAAUCGCCACUUCACACAAUUACAUGAAUAAAGCAUUACAUCAUCCAGAUACAAUCAAGGUCCGACUACGGAACCAAAAUAAAAGAAGAACCCCAAAUGCGACAAAGGUCCUUGAUCGACCCCAACUGGGCUCCACUACUGAUCAACUAGAACGAAACAACACAAAGGGCA